CUGCUACUUUUAAAAACAUCUUUGACAACAUAGACAAAGUAAGGCUCAAAUACAUUGCUAUAAUCCCGCUCCCCUCACCUCAACUCUCAUUACAAGUAUAUUAAUAUGGACAGGUCUAGCAGUUGGAGCCUAUUUCGGAAACCUGCAUUUGGAGACUUCCCACAGUCGCUGCCAACACUUGCCAACAAUUUCAGAGAAAUGAGUGGGCAUCUGGCUAUGCAUGCAAUGAACGCAUUAGGGACUUCAGCGUGCAGCUCCGACCAGCCUCAGAUAUAUUGACAGUGACAGCCUUCAACAACUUCUCCCUCCCUUACCUCACAUUAUGUCACGCAAUAAUAAGAUGGAAAAGUCCAGCUUUUCUUCUUGGUGCCUGUUGGAGAUGGUGGUGGUGCAGCAUGCCCAUCCCUGGGCCACCUGCUGGGCUGUGGUUCUGUGCGUAAAAGAGGAGGGGAGUCUGACAGUGAGUCAGUGUGGUGUCACCGUGCAGGAGGAGCUGCUUUUCCCAGACAUCAGCACUAUAACAGUCCCAGCAGAGCGCACCACACCACUACACUACAAUCUGCAUCUGCACGAGCGCACAGCGUUCGCUUCACGAGCACCAACUAACAGAAGAACACGGCAACACGGAUUCAGUACUUCAGAGCUUUUGGACUACUGGACGCAGAGACGCACGCAUAAGGGAGAAUCAACUGACUGGCAUCAUCUCUAUUACCAUGCACCUUAAGAGCCUCUUGCUGGAGCCGUGCCCAACUCUAUGAGACUGAAAGUGACCUGUCCUUCGGCCAAAAAUAACGGUCUCAGCUCCUGCCAAAAUGCUUUUAGUUCCGGUUUUAUUAUUCAACAAUAAGCAUGUUAUCUCUUUUCCGCCUGUAGCCUGACAGGAUUGCACAGUGGGCGGAAUUCAAAAGCAGCUCCGCGCUGUAGAUUUGGACCAUGACUUGGACGAUUUGCAUCACUACAUGUCAAGAAAAUGUUCCUUCAAUCAUGCGGACGGCUUCACAUUUGAGGACAGACGAGAAGUCAUUAACACGGCAAUAAAAAAGCAAACAACUCCUUGUGGAAUUUCA
Molecule: long non-coding RNA, 1067 nt
Filed under: Astyanax mexicanus (Mexican tetra)
Lineage: Eukaryota; Metazoa; Chordata; Actinopteri; Characiformes; Acestrorhamphidae
Description: lncRNA (ENSAMXG00005018396.1)
Source: RNAcentral